UUUGUAAUUUCAUAUAAAAAGUUAUACAGCCUCUUUGUUUACAAGCAAAACAAAAUUUCAAGUAAUUUACAUCCUACCGAAACCUCCCAUCAUAGUCCUGUAAGUUGAUACACAUACCAACCCACUCCAGCUUACUGGGUUUCCUCUGGUACAUAUUCCGCUGCCCUAACACCCACCGAAAUGUGAGGUGUCCACACAAAACAUCAGUUUACACAUGGAUCACUUCUAAAUUGCACAACAUAAGAAAACCACACUAACAGAUUACGUUUAUUCGUUACCAGGAACACUUUAUUCAAGUAAUAUCAAACACGAAGUAUUGACCAUAGUAUAGAGAGGUGAAAUGCGCUACCAAAGAUUGCUAUGCUGCUGCUUCUGUGGGCUUCUCAGCAACAGUGGGGCUUGCACUUUCGGCUUCUUUUAUCUGCCUCAUGAUGUCUGACUUUGUCUCAAGUAGGCCUUCUAUUUUGCCAUUGAUCUUCUCUAGCUUCUGUUUCAGCUUUACAACAUCACUGCCUUUGUCCUUUUUAUCGACUUUCCUUUUCUUCUCGCCCUUCUCCCCCUUCUCCCCCUUCACCUUUUUCUCUUUAUCUUUCUUCUCUUUACCCUCCUUUCCUUC
RNAcentral lists this long non-coding RNA (616 nucleotides) under Malus domestica (apple). RNAcentral's name for it is "long non-coding RNA (MDOM_LNC013613)". Lineage: Eukaryota; Viridiplantae; Streptophyta; Magnoliopsida; Rosales; Rosaceae. The record is from RNAcentral.